CCUUCUUACGGGAGGCAGCAGUCGGGAAUAUUGCGCAAUGGAGGAAACUCUGACGCAGUGACGCCGCGUAUAGGAAGAAGGUUUUCGGAUUGUAAACUAUUGUCGUGAGGGAAGAAAUUGACAGUACCUCAGGAGGAAGCUCCGGCUAACUAUGUGCCAGCAGCCGCGGUAAUACGUAGGUGGCGAGCGUUAUCCGGAAUGAUUGGGCGUAAAGGGUGCGUAGGCGGCCUGCUAAGUCUGGAGUGAAAGGUACCGGCUCAACCGGUACAGGCUCUGGAGACUGGCGGGCUGGAGAGCAGGGGAGG
Molecule: ribosomal RNA, 305 nt
Filed under: uncultured bacterium
Lineage: Bacteria
Description: bacterial SSU rRNA
Rfam family: Bacterial small subunit ribosomal RNA
Source: RNAcentral